RNAcentral lists this ribosomal RNA (253 nucleotides) under uncultured bacterium. RNAcentral describes it as "partial 16S ribosomal RNA". It matches the Rfam family "Bacterial small subunit ribosomal RNA", at positions 524 to 776 of the family's 1533-position model. The record is from RNAcentral.
UACGGAGGGUGCGAGCGUUGUCCGGAAUCACUGGGCGUAAAGGGCGCGUAGGUGGCCCGUUAAGUGGCUGGUGAAAUCCCGCGGCUCAACUGCGGGGCUGCCGGUCAGACUGGCGAGCUAGAGCACGGUAGGGGCAGAUGGAAUCCCCGGUGUAGCGGUGGAAUGCGUAGAGAUCGGGAAGAAUACCAGUGGCGAAGGCGUUCUGCUGGGCCGUUGCUGACACUGAGGCGCGACAGCGUGGGGAGCAAACCGG